This 468-nucleotide ribosomal RNA is filed under the name uncultured bacterium. RNAcentral's name for it is "partial 16S ribosomal RNA". It matches the Rfam family "Bacterial small subunit ribosomal RNA", at positions 28 to 507 of the family's 1533-position model. The record is from RNAcentral.
GACGAACGCUGGCGGCGUGCUUAACACAUGCCAGUCGAACGGAAAGGCCCUGCUUUUGUGGGGUGCUCGAGUGGCGAACGGGUGAGUAACACGUGAGUAACCUGCCCUUGACUUUGGGAUAACUUCAGGAAACUGGGGCUAAUACCGGAUAGGAGCUCCUGCUGCAUGGUGGGGGUUGGAAAGUUUCGGCGGUUGGGGAUGGACUCGCGGCUUAUGAGCUUGUUGGUGGGGUAGUGGCUUACCAAGGCUUUGACGGGUAGCCGGCCUGAGAGGGUGACCGGCCACAUUGGGACUGAGAUACGGCCCAGACGCCUACGGGAGGCAGCAGUGGGGAAUAUUGCACAAUGGGCGGAAGCCUGAUGCAGCAACGCCGCGUGCGGGAUGACGGCCUUCGGGUUGUAAACCGCUUUCGCCUGUGACGAAGCGUGAGUGACGGUAAUGGGUAAAGAAGCACCGGCUAACUACGUG